Unclassified non-coding RNA from Macaca fascicularis (crab-eating macaque), 297 nucleotides. It matches the Rfam family "Metazoan signal recognition particle RNA". Rfam says of the family: The signal recognition particle (SRP) is a universally conserved ribonucleoprotein. It is involved in the co-translational targeting of proteins to membranes. NCBI's taxonomy places the organism in Eukaryota, Metazoa, Chordata, Mammalia, Primates, Cercopithecidae. The record is from Ensembl.
GCUGGGUGCUGUGGUGUGUGCCUAUAGUCCCAGCUACUCAGGAGGCUGAAACGGGAGGAUCAUUUGAGCCCAGGAGUUCUGGUCUGUAGUGUGCUAUGCUGAUCGGAUGUCCGCACUAAGUUCAGCAUCAAUAUGGUGACCUCUUUGAGCAGGAGAUCACCAGGUUGCCUAAGGAAUGGUGAACCAGUACAGGUCGGAAACAGCAGGACAAAACUUUCGUGCUGAUCAGUAGUGGAAUCGUGCUUGUGAAUAGCCACUGCACCAUAGCCUGGGCAACACAGCAAGACCCCAUCUCUA